RNAcentral lists this ribosomal RNA (595 nucleotides) under Ramaria suecica. RNAcentral's name for it is "eukaryotic LSU rRNA". The stretch from base 154 to 308 matches the Rfam family "5.8S ribosomal RNA". The record is from RNAcentral. Lineage: Eukaryota; Fungi; Basidiomycota; Agaricomycetes; Gomphales; Gomphaceae.
CACCUGUGCACCCAAGGUUAAUGCUUCCCAUUCGGAGCCGUCUUGAGUUGAUCAAAGGGUUAUCACUCGAGGCUGAAGCGUUCCUUCUUUGACGUUUACACUACUGCCUGUCUAAUGCAUGUUUAAUACUCUAAGGAGUUAAAAAGUUAAUACAACUUUCAACAACGGAUCUCUUGGCUUUUGCAUCGAUGAAGAACGCCGCGAAAGUGCGAAACGUAAUGUGAAUUGCAGAAUUCAGUGAAUCAUCGAAUCUUUGAACGCACCUUGCACUCCUUGGUAUUCCGAGGAGUAUGCCUGUUUGAGUGUCGUGAACCUUCUCAAAUCCUUAUCAUUAAGUUGGUCAAGGGUUUGGACGUGGAUGUAUGCUAUGAUAUUCAGUUAUGAUAGCUCAUCUUAAAUACAUUAGCUGGUGAAUUCUCGCUCAGAGAGGAAUAACAGUGUGAUAAGAAACAUUUUGUAACUGUGUAACACUGUUGAUGCUCACUUGCGGAACACCGCUUCUAAUCGUCUGUCACUAGACACAUCACAUCAUGUCAUUUGACCUCAAAUCAGGUAGGACUACCCGCUGAACUUAAGCAUAUCAAUAAGCGGAGGA